GACGAACGCUGGCGGCGUGCUUAACACAUGCAAGUCGAACGGAAAGGCCCUGCUUUUGUGGGGUGCUCGAGUGGCGAACGGGUGAGUAACACGUGAGUAACCUGCCCUUGACUUUGGGAUAACUUCAGGAAACUGGGGCUAAUACCGGAUAGGAGCUCCUGCUGCAUGGUGGGGGUUGGAAAGUUUCGGCGGUUGGGGAUGGACUCGCGGCUUAUCAGCUUGUUGGUGGGGUAGUGGCUUACCAAGGCUUUGACGGGUAGCCGGCCUGAGAGGGUGACCGGCCACAUUGGGACUGAGAUACGGCCCAGUCUCCUACGGGAGGCAGCAGGGGGGAAUAUUGCACAAUGGGCGGAAGCCUGAUGCAGCAACGCCGCGUGCGGGAUGACGGCCUUCGGGUUGUAAACCGCUUUCGCCUGUGACGAAGCGUGAGUGACGGUAAUGGGUAAAGAAGCACCGGCUAACUACGUG
Molecule: ribosomal RNA, 468 nt
Filed under: uncultured bacterium
Lineage: Bacteria
Description: partial 16S ribosomal RNA
Rfam family: Bacterial small subunit ribosomal RNA
Source: RNAcentral